AAAGCAAAGAAUAUGGAGUAAUUGCCUUACACAAAGCCCCCGAGUGCAAGCAGUCCAGCUGGCGUUCAGAGACUGGGGCACCUUGGGGUGCUGCCUCGGGGAGGGGUGUCAGGGGGCUGCUGGGCCACUGCCCAGCAGCCAGAGGUUGAGCUACAGUCAGAGUUGCCAGCUGCCCUUAAUAUGGAGGUUAAUCAAUUAAUAAUUAAUAAAAGUCAAUUAAUAAUUGAGUAAUUAAUUCACCUGGAGGGGGCUGCCCUCUGCUACAGGGUGGGGAGGGAUCGCAGCUCGCACCGCAGUGCAGGCAGACAUGGUACAAGUCCGUCAUCCCCCAGCACAGGGCAGGGUGGCUUGUAUAGGAACCUGGGAUUUUUGUGGUUGCAGUUAGACAUAAUUGCUGUUUCCACUUGCAAAGCAACGAGUCUUGUGUGCUGAGUAGAUGUUUUGUGCUGCUCACCGGCGCUCCGAUCGUGAUGCAAAUCUCCCUGGCUCCUGGGUUGCAAGGAAGAAAAGAUUUCUUUGUUUUGAACUGAAUGGUUUCCCAUGAAUGGGAAACCCAGACAGCGUGGUGCUCCAGAUUACUUUAAUGUGUUUUUCCUGGAACGAGGAUGCACCAGCAGUUCAUACUCUGCAGGUAUGGCUGCAACACCUGAUGGGGUGAUAACUGCAAUCAGCAUCUUCCUGGUGUUUCAGCUGCAAGAGUUACAGGUGUGCCUGCUGUGGGGAGCAGUUGGGCUCUCUGCUCUUGCCCCUCCGUCUUUCAUCAGCACCAUCCUAGACCCAGUGUCACCCGGUGAGUUGGUGGCUGUCUGGUUGAGAAGACAUGAGUAGCUACAUGGAUACCGACUGUAUUUCCAGUGGAGUCCUGGCUCCUGCCAGUAGGAGCAGUGUUCUUUUUCUCAUAUUUGCAUGACUGCUGAAGAGCCACAGUCCAUCUUUAUCCAUCUUCAUCCUUUACCAGGCAAAUCAGGCUGACAAGAAGCUCUGCGCUGGCCCGGUGAGGCUGGCAUGUGGCAAACUGCCCAAGCUCCCCAUGGAAAGCCUGCUAUUGCUUCUGAGCAUCAGCCCAGGUGCACCUUCCCUUUGGCCACGUCACAUUUCUCAUUGCUCUGGGACCUGCUGAGAACCAACAAGAGCAGGUUCAGAGCGCUCCUGCGUUAUCAGGGUCUGUGCCCAACAGAAGCCCUGCUGGAGCACUUAGUAGGGCACCUUCAUUGUCAUCCUACCCUCUGUGUUUAGAGCGCUUCAGGGGCGAUAUUACCACCUUGGAAUUACCCCUGCUUCUCGAAGAACUGCGGAAAGCCUUGCUUGGUGCUCUGAGCCUGCAGUGGCAGAGGUUGCUGCCCACCUCCUGCAGCAGAGAAACA
Molecule: long non-coding RNA, 1364 nt
Filed under: Anser cygnoides (Swan goose)
Lineage: Eukaryota; Metazoa; Chordata; Aves; Anseriformes; Anatidae
Description: lncRNA (ENSACDG00005000735.1)
Source: RNAcentral